RNAcentral lists this ribosomal RNA (169 nucleotides) under uncultured Desulfuromonas sp. RNAcentral describes it as "partial 16S ribosomal RNA". It matches the Rfam family "Bacterial small subunit ribosomal RNA", at positions 1214 to 1382 of the family's 1533-position model. The record is from RNAcentral. Lineage: Bacteria; Pseudomonadati; Thermodesulfobacteriota; Desulfuromonadia; Desulfuromonadales; Desulfuromonadaceae.
CUACACACGUGCUACAAUGGCCGGUACAAAGGGCAGCAAAGCCGCGAGGUGGAGCCAAUCCCAGAAAGCCGGUCUCAGUUCGGAUUGGAGUCUGCAACUCGACUCCAUGAAGUUGGAAUCGCUAGUAAUCGCGGAUCAGCAUGCCGCGGUGAAUACGUUCCCGGGCCUU